RNAcentral lists this ribosomal RNA (253 nucleotides) under uncultured bacterium. RNAcentral's name for it is "partial 16S ribosomal RNA". It matches the Rfam family "Bacterial small subunit ribosomal RNA", at positions 524 to 776 of the family's 1533-position model. The record is from RNAcentral.
UACAGAGGUCCCAAGCGUUGUUCGGAUUCACUGGGCGUAAAGGGUGCGUAGGCGGUCGGGUAAGUCUGACGUGAAAUCUCCGGGCCUAACCCGGAAACUGCGUUGGAUACUAUCCGGCUAGAGGAAUGGAGGGGAGACUGGAAUACUUGGUGUAGCAGUGAAAUGCGUAGAUAUCAAGUGGAACACCAGUGGCGAAGGCGAGUCUCUGGACAGUUCCUGACGCUGAGGCACGAAGGUCAGGGGAGCAAACGGG